This 253-nucleotide ribosomal RNA is filed under the name uncultured bacterium. RNAcentral's name for it is "partial 16S ribosomal RNA". It matches the Rfam family "Bacterial small subunit ribosomal RNA", at positions 524 to 776 of the family's 1533-position model. The record is from RNAcentral.
UACGUAGGGUGCAAGCGUUGUCCGGAUUUAUUGGGUUUAAAGGGUGCGUAGGCGGUACAUUAAGUCAGUGGUGAAAUUUGGUUGCUUAACAAUCACAGUGCCAUUGAUACUGAUGAACUUGAGAGAAGUGGAGGCUUUUGGAAUGGAUGGUGUAGCGGUGAAAUGCAUAGAUAUCAUCCAGAACACCGAUUGCGAAGGCAGGAGGCUGUACUUUAUCUGACGCUGAGGCACGAAAGCGUGGGGAUCAAACAGG